RNAcentral lists this ribosomal RNA (261 nucleotides) under Escherichia coli. RNAcentral describes it as "partial 16S ribosomal RNA". It matches the Rfam family "Bacterial small subunit ribosomal RNA", at positions 865 to 1125 of the family's 1533-position model. The record is from RNAcentral. Lineage: Bacteria; Pseudomonadati; Pseudomonadota; Gammaproteobacteria; Enterobacterales; Enterobacteriaceae.
UCGACCGCCUGGGGAGUACGGCCGCAAGGUUAAAACUCAAAUGAAUUGACGGGGGCCCGCACAAGCGGUGGAGCAUGUGGUUUAAUUCGAUGCAACGCGAAGAACCUUACCUGGUCUUGACAUCCACGGAAGUUUUCAGAGAUGAGAAUGUGCCUUCGGGAACCGUGAGACAGGUGCUGCAUGGCUGUCGUCAGCUCGUGUUGUGAAAUGUUGGGUUAAGUCCCGCAACGAGCGCAACCCUUAUCCUUUGUUGCCAGCGGU